Molecule: ribosomal RNA, 229 nt
Filed under: uncultured bacterium
Lineage: Bacteria
Description: partial 16S ribosomal RNA
Rfam family: Bacterial small subunit ribosomal RNA
Source: RNAcentral
UGCGUAGGCGGAUUAAUAAGUCAGUGGUGAAAACCUUCAGCUUAACUGGAGACUUGCCAUUGAUACUGUUAGUCUUGAGUACGGUCAAGGUAGGCGGAAUGUGUAAUGUAGCGGUGAAAUGCUUAGAUAUUACACAGAACACCGAUUGCGAAGGCAGCUUACUGGGCCAUUACUGACGCUGAUGCACGAAAGCGUGGGGAGCGAACAGGAUUAGAUACCCUGGUAGUCC